CUUAUUCGUGACGUGCGCAUAGAUUCGCUGUAACUUUACCUUCCGUCAAAAUUCAAACUUUCUAAAAUAUCGUAUGCCGAAGCCAAUUACAGUAAAUAAACAAACAAUAAAAGUAGGAAAACUUUAGUUCCAUAACUAUAUAAUAAAUAAACGGCAUAAGAAAAAUAGUUUUCACCCAAAAGUAUAUUUCCAACAGAUCGCGUUAAUAUCUUAAUAUAUCAUGUAUAAAUAUCGGCAAAAUAAACAAGUCCGUUAAUAUCUUAAUAUAUCAUUUAUAAAUAUCGCAAAAAUUAAGUUGUACAAUAUAUACAAUUGAAUAUGAAAUACAAAAUAUUAUUAAUUUAAUUUUUUUAAAACAAAUAUUUAAUAAUUAAAUUUUUUUAAAAAAUUCAUUCUACUAGGCUCAUUUAAUUUAGAUUCAAUCUUAAAUUUUUUCCCCAAAAAAUUUAAAUCUCAAGCACGUACGUCCAAAGCGAUUCUCUUUUACAUGACAUCACUCACAGUUGCUUACGUGUACAACAUGUCAGCAUGUCGGCAACAUAAAUGCAUAGCAACCCAUGCAUUAAUUAGAUAUUUAAUUUUAAAAAUACUAAAACCCAACCAAAAUAAUCAAUUUGUACAAAAAUACACCUUUUUAUUCCUUAUUUUCAACUUAAAAAUUACUAUAAAUUAAAUCUUUAUAAUUAUAUAAUUAUACGUACGUUUGUGUUGGGGUGGGGUUACAUCUUUUUCUAUAAUUAGGCAGAGAUGACACUCUUAUUACAAAGAAUUUAAGUAAUCUGGUACAGGAUCGUGUCGAGUCGUGUCGAUACGUGUCGGUGAAAAAAAAUUUUAUGUGCUGAUACAUAAUAGUUCGAAAUAUUUAUUUUCUUUAGUAAUAAAAUAUUUUAAUUAUUUAUUAUAUUUUUUUUUGAAUUUUAUUUAGAAAAUUAUUUAUUAAUUUAAAGAUAAAGAGUUUUGGGCUGUGCUAUCGGUGCUGGGUCUUUAUCGUACCGCUAGUUUGUUGGCACGGUAUGACACGAUGGAUACGACGGGUGCCAACGG
RNAcentral lists this long non-coding RNA (1044 nucleotides) under Ananas comosus (pineapple). RNAcentral describes it as "long non-coding RNA (ACOM_LNC033862)". The record is from RNAcentral. Lineage: Eukaryota; Viridiplantae; Streptophyta; Magnoliopsida; Poales; Bromeliaceae.